AUUCGAAGGAAGACACUAUUCCUCUUCCCCUUCGUUCGAAUAGAGUUGCAGCGGCGGCGAACCAGCGACCGAGUUCUCUGUCACCGUUCUCUCCCGAUAUCUCUCUAUCCUUUUCCAUCUGUUUCUUCUUCUCUCUCCGUUUUUUCUCUGUCACUGCCACUGCAACUCUUGGCAGCAGCGGUUCGGCCCCUCUCUUUCUCUUUCUCUUUCUCUUUCUCUCAUUUCGCCCUCUCUCUAUCACUGUUUUCUCCAACCCCACCGCAUUCCCCUCUCUUUUUCUCUCCAUCGAACUGAAACUUGAAAAAUCACUCAGAGUAUACUGUUCACAUUCUCCUUCAUUCGCACCGAAUAGGGGCGACGGUGGCAGAGACAAACCACCCACGCCCGACUUCCUUCUCCACUUCUCUUUUUCUUCUUCCUCUAAUCCACCAAACCCCUUCUUUACACUAAACCUACCCUCCAUCAAAUCACCUCCUCCCUAUUCUCCAGAUUGCUUCCCUCACGAACACUUCAGCAGGGCUGCCUUGUUUUGAUGUCUUCGUCUAUAGUUUCCCAAAGUAGUUCAGCAACGAUGCCUCCCAUUCUUCACCGUCGCCGGCAAGAUCACCGUCUUCAACACAUUAGUCGGACAUCAGUCAGCAUUGCUUUGGCUUCCCUUGAACAGAAGUUGUUCCCUAGUUGCAGCCAUCUACUUCAAACCAUAAUCUAGCCGAAGCUCCCCUAUUCUCUUGAUCGAAUUAGGCCGAAACAUCUCAGGGACUCAGGAAAGGGGGAGAAGGUCGACAGAACUAGAGAAAUCAGUUCCUGAAAUAUUCGGCACCUUCUCCAACCUUUUUUUUAUUUACUUUUUUUUUCUCUUUCCUAUUUCAGACUGGGGAUUGAAAUAAUUUGAUUGGUGUGUUCCCUAUCAUUUACUC
This is an RNA transcript of Nelumbo nucifera (sacred lotus), 917 nucleotides long. It is a transcript of the gene named phosphoinositide phospholipase C 6-like, with no coding region annotated. The record is from RefSeq and is a predicted model, not a curated record. Lineage: Eukaryota; Viridiplantae; Streptophyta; Magnoliopsida; Proteales; Nelumbonaceae.